Molecule: non-coding RNA, 252 nt
Organism: Zonotrichia albicollis (white-throated sparrow)
Lineage: Eukaryota; Metazoa; Chordata; Aves; Passeriformes; Passerellidae
Source: RefSeq, a predicted model, not a curated record
GGAGCUGUGAUGAAAACAGGAUUAAAGAAGAAAUCAUUGGCAGUGGAGUGCUACAACAACUGAACUGCUUCUUUUCAGUGGAUACUAAAGCUGAGAUGGAUCAUAAUGGAAAGUGACACUGAAAAAUCACAGAGAGUCAACAAUUUGAAAAGCAGAGGUUUGCAGCCCAAAUUGCACAGGAUAUUUUAACCUGGACACCUCUUUGACCUGCACAACUCAAGGAUAAUGGUAUUUGUAUGUACAAAUAUUACA